This 87-nucleotide transfer RNA is filed under the name Pleurotus eryngii. RNAcentral describes it as "tRNA-Val". The record is from RNAcentral. Lineage: Eukaryota; Fungi; Basidiomycota; Agaricomycetes; Agaricales; Pleurotaceae.
GGUUCGAUGGCGUAGUUGGUUAUCGCAUCUGUCUAACAACAUCUGGUUGUUCACAGAAGGUCCUCAGUUCGAACCUGGGUCGAAUCA